UGCAUUGGUGGAGGUAUCUAAU
RNAcentral lists this non-coding RNA (22 nucleotides) under Arabidopsis thaliana (thale cress). Lineage: Eukaryota; Viridiplantae; Streptophyta; Magnoliopsida; Brassicales; Brassicaceae. The record is from RNAcentral.